UAUUGGACAAUGGGCGAAAGCCUGAUCCAGCAAUACCGCGUGUGUGAAGAAGGCCUUAGGGUUGUAAAGCACUUUCAAUUGGGAGGAAAACCUGCCGGUCAAUACCCGGUAGCUUGACAUUACCUUUAGAAGAAGCACCGGCUAACUCCGUGCCAGCAGCCGCGGUAAUACGGAGGGUGCGAGCGUUAAUCGGAAUUACUGGGCGUAAAGCGUGCGUAGGCGGUUCGUUAAGUCAGAUGUGAAAGCCCUGGGCUCAACCUGGGAACUGCAUUUGAAACUGGCGGACUAGAGUUUAGUAGAGGGGAGUGGAAUUUCAGGUGUAGCGGUGAAAUGCGUAGAUAUUUGAAGGAACACCAGUGGCGAAGGCGACUCCCUGGACUAGAACUGACGCUGAGGUACGAAA
RNAcentral lists this ribosomal RNA (403 nucleotides) under uncultured bacterium. Its description in RNAcentral is "bacterial SSU rRNA". It matches the Rfam family "Bacterial small subunit ribosomal RNA", at positions 362 to 758 of the family's 1533-position model. The record is from RNAcentral.